UUUCUUACUCAAGGAGCUCAAAUGUGGGCCUGCUAAUGACAAGUUUAUGUCCAAAAGAGGGGAUAUCAAGACCCAACCUGCUCCCUAGUGUUGUGAGAUUGCACAAGGACUCUACUGAGGGAGACAGACUACUGCACUUGAUGUUUCCCUGAGAACCAGGGAAAGCUCUUCCCCCUCUCUUUCAAGAAAGCCAGUGUAAAUAAAUGGUUUCUGAGGCCAUAAAGCCUGUGUGAAAUGUCUGAAUGACAAAGUAAUGAACAUUGUUUGUGGCUGGAGUCAACACAAGUAUUUAUUGCUAAGCAACAAAGACUGAUGUCAGUGAGUUUUGCCAAAUGCAGAUGAGAGAUGGAGGAAAAUAACAGGCCUCAAAGGAGCUACCUUUCAGAACAAGCAUGUUUUUCUCAGUGUUUUCUUGGAGAAGGAAACAAGGAAAUUAAAAUAGAAGCAGAUGGCAUUUUAUUUCAGAAAAUCGUCUCAGAAUAAUGUCAUCUAAAAACCCAAUAACUCAGGUAACUUGCCUGCUGCAGACUUUAUGUUUGCUGUUAGGCUCAUGUGCUCCUCUGCAUUUCUCUGUGAAAGGUUUGAGAGAAAGGAAGUCUAAUAAUCAGUUGCAACAAAUAUUUUUCUGCUGUUUCUCAUUUAAAUCUUGUUGACAGAGAUCUAGAGAUCUUCUUUGACACUCCAGACAGCUUCUGGAGGAAAUAAAAUACCAUAAACAGA
Molecule: long non-coding RNA, 720 nt
Organism: Neopsephotus bourkii (Bourke's parrot)
Lineage: Eukaryota; Metazoa; Chordata; Aves; Psittaciformes; Psittacidae
Exons: 3
Source: RefSeq, a predicted model, not a curated record